GACGAACGCUGGCGGCGUGCUUAACACAUGCAAGUCGAACGGAAAGGCCCCUUUGGGGGUACUUGAGUGGCGAACGGGUGAGUAAGACGUGAGUAACCUGCCCUAGCUUCCGGGUUAUCUUGAGUAACCUGGGGCAAAUAACGCUAAUGAAUCCUAGCCGCAUGGUGUGGGUUGGAAAGCUUUGGCGGUGUUGGAUGGACUGGUGGGCUGUUGGCUUGUUGGUGGGGUGGUGGGGUACCGAGGCUUUGACGGGUAGCCGGCCUGGGAGGGCGACCGGCCACAUUGGGACUGAGAGACGGCCCAAGCUGCGACGAGUGGCAGAAGUGGGGAAUAUUGCUCAAGGGGCGGAGGCCUGGUGCAGAAGGGCCGCGUGCGGGAUGGCGGCCUUCGGGUUGUAGACCGGUUUCAGCAGGGGCGAAGCUUGUGGUGACGGUACCUGCAGAAGAAGCACCGGCUAACUACGUG
RNAcentral lists this ribosomal RNA (465 nucleotides) under uncultured bacterium. RNAcentral's name for it is "partial 16S ribosomal RNA". It matches the Rfam family "Bacterial small subunit ribosomal RNA", at positions 28 to 507 of the family's 1533-position model. The record is from RNAcentral.